Molecule: unclassified non-coding RNA, 432 nt
Filed under: Hevea brasiliensis (rubber tree)
Lineage: Eukaryota; Viridiplantae; Streptophyta; Magnoliopsida; Malpighiales; Euphorbiaceae
Source: RNAcentral
UCAUGCCCUGUUUGUCGUCAGGAGCUACCGCCACAAGGAUCGAGUAGUGGCCACAGUUACCAAAGCUCAAGUUCUCGAAGUAGAAGCAACAAUUACAGUGGAAGAGAGAAUGGCAGGGAAGGAAGACGGAAUCCAUUGUCGUAUUUGUGGCCAUUCCGCUCGUCUAGUUCUAGUUCGAACCAUGAUGAGACAACAGGAAGCAGUUCACCAACUGUGCAUGAAAAUAACCACCAGAUGGGGUAUUCAGGAUGGCCUUUCAACUGAGGAAUUCUGAAAAAUGCUAUGAUUUCUGUGUUCUGUGAUCAUAAUGUUGCGUCCUCGUUACUCGAGCUAAUUGAUUGGAGUGCGUGGUUUGAGACCUUGAAGUCUACUAGUCUUGGAGUCUCUGUUGAAAAGUAAUGGUGUCUUGUGUUUCUUCUGCAACUCUUUUUU